This 84-nucleotide transfer RNA is filed under the name Streptomyces lavendulae subsp. lavendulae. Its description in RNAcentral is "tRNA-Pro". Lineage: Bacteria; Bacillati; Actinomycetota; Actinomycetes; Kitasatosporales; Streptomycetaceae. The record is from RNAcentral.
UGCGCCCAUGUCGUACGGGCCGGGACGGCGCUCGGGAUGCCGCGGGAACCGGUCUUCGUGGAGUUCCAGUACGCCGGGGCGCAC